CGUCCGGUUUUCGGCGGAAAAUGUUUUUAAGGGCUAGAUAGAAUAAAUACAUUUAAGAUGAUACACUUCAGACCUGAAAGACGGUUGACAAAAGUAUCCGCACCCUGCCAACGGGUUACUAGGCAGGAGGGCGAAAGUGGGUAUAAGUGAGGUGCUAGACCCCCAAAAAGUCCCCCCGAAAGGGACACAUCUACGGACUAUUAUAGUCUAUGAUGAACGACACCAAGAGUUGGCUGAUAGCGACGUGAUGAGGACACGAACAAGACCCGAAAGGGUAGCAGGUAGGGCACGCAGACGCCUGCAAAAAGUUCGUUCAAAACUUGAAAUAGUUUUGAAGUUGUAACCC
RNAcentral lists this non-coding RNA (346 nucleotides) under unclassified sequences. RNAcentral's name for it is "GEBRO RNA". It matches the Rfam family "GEBRO RNA". The record is from Rfam by way of RNAcentral.